GCCUCGUGAAUUCAUCUCCGGGGGUAGAGCACUGUUUCGGCUAGGGGGCCAUCCCGGCUUACCAACCCGAUGCAAACUGCGAAUACCGGAGAAUGUUAUCACGGGAGACACACGGCGGGUGCUAACGUCCGUCGUGAAGAGGGAAACAACCCAGACCGCCAGCUAAGGUCCCAAAGUCAUGGUUAAGUGGGAAACGAUGUGGGAAGGCCCAGACAGCCAGGAUGUUGGCUUAGAAGCAGCCAUCAUUUAAAGAAAGCGUAAUAGCUCACUGGUCGAGUCGGCCUGCGCGGAAGAUGUAACGGGGCUAAACCAUGCACCGAAGCUGCGGCAGCGACACUCAGGUGUUGUUGGGUAGGGGAGCGUUCUGUAAGCCUGUGAAGGUGGCCUGUGAGGGUUGCUGGAGGUAUCAGAAGUGCGAAUGCUGACAUAAGUAACGAUAAAGCGGGUGAAAAGCCCGCUCGCCGGAAGACCAAGGGUUCCUGUCCAACGUUAAUCGGGGCAGGGUGAGUCGACCCCUAAGGCGAGGCCGAAAGGCGUAGUCGAUGGGAAACGGGUUAAUAUUCCCGUACUUGGUGUUACUGCGAAGGGGGGACGGAGAAGGCUAUGUUGGCCGGGCGACGGUU
This 623-nucleotide ribosomal RNA is filed under the name Salmonella enterica subsp. enterica serovar Eastbourne. RNAcentral's name for it is "partial 23S ribosomal RNA". It matches the Rfam family "Bacterial large subunit ribosomal RNA", at positions 879 to 1503 of the family's 2925-position model. Lineage: Bacteria; Pseudomonadati; Pseudomonadota; Gammaproteobacteria; Enterobacterales; Enterobacteriaceae. The record is from RNAcentral.